This 227-nucleotide unclassified non-coding RNA is filed under the name Hevea brasiliensis (rubber tree). The record is from RNAcentral. Lineage: Eukaryota; Viridiplantae; Streptophyta; Magnoliopsida; Malpighiales; Euphorbiaceae.
GAUUUCGCCUCGCCCAGGUGCCUAUGCGAGAGCCCAGGCGCCUGGCGACAGCACUGCUUGCGAUCUAAAAUUCAUGUCAGUAUUUUGCUGGCUUGUUCACUUUUAUUGUUAAUUUUUCUUGCUUUAUGAUUUUCCUCAUAAUUAUUUGGCCAUAAUGCUUUUAUUCUUGAACUUUUGCUUCACUUUUUUGUUUCUAAUAGCAUAUUCAAAUAUUGUUUUGAGUAUAG